GAUGAAGAACGUAGCGAAAUGCGAUACUUGGUGUGAAUUGCAGAAUCCCGUGAACCAUCGAGUCUUUGAACGCAAGUUGCGCCUCAAGCCAUUAGGUUGAGGGCACGUCUGCCUGGGCGUCACAUAUCGUUGCCUGAUGCCAGUUUCCUCGUGAUGGGUGACUGUGCAGGGCGAAUGAUGGCUUCCCGUGAGCAUUGUUGCCUCAUGGUUGGUUGAAAAUUGAGUCCUUGGUAGGGAGCGCCGUGAUAGAUGGUGGUUGAGUGACAAACGAGACCCAAUCAUGUGAGACCCCUACCGAAUUUGGCCUUCAUGACCCACAUGCGUCUUUGGAACGCUCAUGACGAGACCUCAGGUCAGGCGGGGCUACCCGCUGAGUUUAAGCAUAUAAUAAGCGGAGGA
Molecule: unclassified non-coding RNA, 399 nt
Filed under: soil metagenome
Description: partial contains 5.8S ribosomal RNA, internal transcribed spacer 2, and large subunit ribosomal RNA
Rfam family: 5.8S ribosomal RNA (bases 1-122)
Source: RNAcentral